GGGUUGUGAGGUUAAGCGACUAAGCGUACACGGUGGAUGCCCUGGCAGUCAGAGGCGAUGAAGGACGUGCUAAUCUGCGAAAAGCGUCGGUAAGGUGAUAUGAACCGUUAUAACCGGCGAUGUCCGAAUGGGGAAACCCAGUGUGAUUCGUCACACUAUCGUUAACUGAAUACAUAGGUUAACGAGGCGAACCGGGGGAACUGAAACAUCUAAGUACCCCGAGGAAAAGAAAUCAACCGAGAUUCCCCCAGUAGCGGCGAGCGAACGGGGAGCAGCCCAGAGUCUGAAUCAGCUUGUGUGUUAGUGGAACGGUCUGGAAAGUCCGACGGUACAGGGUGAUAGUCCCGUACACCAAAAUGCACAGGUUGUGAACUCGAAGAGUAGGGCGGGACACGUGGUAUCCUGUCUGAAUAUGGGGGGACCAUCCUCCAAGGCUAAAUACUCCUGACUGACCGAUAGUGAACCAGUACCGUGAGGGAAAGGCGAAAAGAACCCCGGCGAGGGGAGUGAAAAAGAACCUGAAACCGUGUACGUACAAGCAGUGGGAGCACCUUCGGGUGUGACUGCGUACCUUUUGUAUAAUGGGUCAGCGACUUAUAUUCUGUAGCAAGGUUAACCGUAUAGGGGAGCCGCAGGGAAACCGAGUCUUAACUGGGCGUUAAGUUGCAGGGUAUAGACCCGAAACCAGGUGAUCUAGCCAUGGGCAGGUUGAAGGUUGGGUAACACUAACUGGAGGACCGAACCGACUAAUGUUGAAAAAUUAGCGGAUGACUUGUGGCUGGGGGUGAAAGGCCAAUCAAACCGGGAGAUAGCUGGUUCUCCCCGAAAGCUAUUUAGGUAGCGCCUCGUGAACUCAUCUUCGGGGGUAGAGCACUGUUUCGGCUAGGGGGUCAUCCCGACUUACCAACCCGAUGCAAACUACGAAUACCGAAGAAUGUUAUCACGGGAGACACACGGCGGGUGCUAACGUCCGUCGUGAAGAGGGAAACAACCCAGACCGCCAGCUAAGGUCCCAAAGUCAUGGUUAAGUGGGAAACGAUGUGGGAAGGCACAGACAGCCAGGAUGUUGGCUUAGAAGCAGCCAUCAUUUAAAGAAAGCGUAAUAGCUCACUGGUCGAGUCGGCCUGCGCGGAAGAUGUAACGGGGCUAAACCAUGCACCGAAGCUGCGGCAGCGACACUAUGUGUUGUUGGGUAGGGGAGCGUUCUGUAAGCCUGCGAAGGUGACCUGUGAGGGUUGCUGGAGGUAUCAGAAGUGCGAAUGCUGACAUAAGUAACGAUAAAGCGGGUGAAAAGCCCGCUCGCCGGAAGACCAAGGGUUCCUGUCCAACGUUAAUCGGGGCAGGGUGAGUCGACCCCUAAGGCGAGGCCGAAAGGCGUAGUCGAUGGGAAACAGGUUAAUAUUCCUGUACUUGGUGUUACUGCGAAGGGGGGACGGAGAAGGCUAUGUUAGCCGGGCGACGGUUGUCCCGGUUUAAGCAUGUAGGCUGGUUAUCCAGGCAAAUCCGGAUAAUCAAGGCUGAGGUGUGAUGACGAGGCACUACGGUGCUGAAGUAACAAAUGCCCUGCUUCCAGGAAAAGCCUCUAAGCAUCAGGUAACAUCAAAUCGUACCCCAAACCGACACAGGUGGUCAGGUAGAGAAUACCAAGGCGCUUGAGAGAACUCGGGUGAAGGAACUAGGCAAAAUGGUGCCGUAACUUCGGGAGAAGGCACGCUGGUGUGUAGGUGAAGCCCCUGCGGGUGGAGCUGAGACCAGUCGAAGAUACCAGCUGGCUGCAACUGUUUAUUAAAAACACAGCACUGUGCAAACACGAAAGUGGACGUAUACGGUGUGACGCCUGCCCGGUGCCGGAAGGUUAAUUGAUGGGGUUAUCCGUAAGGAGAAGCUCUUGAUCGAAGCCCCGGUAAACGGCGGCCGUAACUAUAACGGUCCUAAGGUAGCGAAAUUCCUUGUCGGGUAAGUUCCGACCUGCACGAAUGGCGUAAUGAUGGCCAGGCUGUCUCCACCCGAGACUCAGUGAAAUUGAACUCGCUGUGAAGAUGCAGUGUACCCGCGGCAAGACGGAAAGACCCCGUGAACCUUUACUAUAGCUUGACACUGAACAUUGAGCCUUGAUGUGUAGGAUAGGUGGGAGGCUUUGAAGCGUGGACGCCAGUCUGCGUGGAGCCAACCUUGAAAUACCACCCUUUAAUGUUUGAUGUUCUAACGUUGGCCCCUUACCGGGGUUGCGGACAGUGUCUGGUGGGUAGUUUGACUGGGGCGGUCUCCUCCCAAAGCGUAACGGAGGAGCACGAAGGUUAGCUAAUCCUGGUCGGACAUCAGGAGGUUAGUGCAAUGGCAUAAGCUAGCUUGACUGCGAGCGUGACGGCGCGAGCAGGUGCGAAAGCAGGUCAUAGUGAUCCGGUGGUUCUGAAUGGAAGGGCCAUCGCUCAACGGAUAAAAGGUACUCCGGGGAUAACAGGCUGAUACCGCCCAAGAGUUCAUAUCGACGGCGGUGUUUGGCACCUCGAUGUCGGCUCAUCACAUCCUGGGGCUGAAGUAGGUCCCAAGGGUAUGGCUGUUCGCCAUUUAAAGUGGUACGCGAGCUGGGUUUAGAACGUCGUGAGACAGUUCGGUCCCUAUCUGCCGUGGGCGCUGGAGAAUUGAGGGGGGCUGCUCCUAGUACGAGAGGACCGGAGUGGACGCAUCACUGGUGUUCGGGUUGUCAUGCCAAUGGCACUGCCCGGUAGCUAAAUGCGGAAGAGAUAAGUGCUGAAAGCAUCUAAGCACGAAACUUGCCCCGAGAUGAGUUCUCCCUGAGACUUUAAGUCUCCUGAAGGAACGUUGAAGACGACGACGUUGAUAGGCCGGGUGUGUAAGCGCAGCGAUGCGUUGAGCUAACCGGUACUAAUGAACCGUGAGGCUUAACCUUACAACGCCGAAG
Molecule: ribosomal RNA, 2923 nt
Filed under: Klebsiella pneumoniae
Lineage: Bacteria; Pseudomonadati; Pseudomonadota; Gammaproteobacteria; Enterobacterales; Enterobacteriaceae
Description: bacterial LSU rRNA
Rfam family: Bacterial large subunit ribosomal RNA
Source: RNAcentral